This 194-nucleotide ribosomal RNA is filed under the name uncultured bacterium. RNAcentral's name for it is "partial 16S ribosomal RNA". It matches the Rfam family "Bacterial small subunit ribosomal RNA", at positions 338 to 524 of the family's 1533-position model. The record is from RNAcentral.
CCUACGGGAGGCAGCAGUGGGGAAUUUUGGACAAUGGGCGAAAGCCUGAUCCAGCCAUUCCGCGUGCAGGAUGAAGGCCCUCGGGUUGUAAACUGCUUUUGUACGGAACGAAAAAGCUCCGGCUAAUACCUGGAGUCCAUGACGGUACCGUAAGAAUAAGCACCGGCUAACUACGUGCCAGCAGCCGCGGUAAU